RNA transcript from Conger conger (European conger), 8426 nucleotides. It is a transcript of the gene named QKI, KH domain containing, RNA binding 2, with no coding region annotated. The record is from RefSeq and is a predicted model, not a curated record. The transcript has 8 exons. Lineage: Eukaryota; Metazoa; Chordata; Actinopteri; Anguilliformes; Congridae.
GCUGGAGACCGGAACGCCAGCUUCAAUGAAGAGCCGUUACUGAGAACGAGACCGAAGAGAGUGCUCGUCGUUUUAGGGAGGGUAUACAGCCAUACACUCGCACAUCUUCGCUCAACACGCACACCCUUUUGAACACUUACUGCGGGACACAGGAAAGUCUGGCAUACAAACACUGUGCUAAGAGGGAGAGGAUAAGAGUGCUGGGAGUAAAUCAUUUCGCGAACGUUUGCUGUUAUGCGGGAGUUUAGGCUACUCUUCAUUUUUGAGUAGCCUGACAGCGUUGGAUAACUUAUGGAAUGUAAAAGGCAAAUAUAGCAAAAAGGGAACUUUUACCCUCCUCGCUUUUACUUGGUUUUGCGUUCGUCGUGAAAUAUUGUAUCUGUGGAAAUAUUCACAGAAGAAGCGGGAUUGCGUUGUGGUAAACGCACUGGUCGGAACAGCAGUGGCGAGAAACAACUCACUGUCUCGGCGUGGAUGAGACGGGACGGGUAGGGACGGCAUUAAAUAACUAUUCGCGUGAACUUUUAAACUUUCAGAAAUAAUCUCUAGGUUUUUAUGCGUUUUAGAUUUUUGGUUUAAUUUUCAUUCGUCGAUUUUCACUUCGGGUUGUUGAACUUAUUUUGGAAUAUGGUUGGGGAAAUGGAACCGAAAGAGAAGCCGAAGCCGACGCCAGAAUAUCUCAUGCAGUUGAUGAACGACAAAAAACUGAUGAGCAGUCUACCCAACUUUUGCGGCAUUUUCAACCACCUAGAGCGGCUGCUGGACGAAGAAAUCGGGCGGGUACGGAAGGACAUGUACAACGACACGCUAAAUGGCAGCACGGAGAAGAGGAGCUCGGAGCUGCCGGACGCCGUGGGGCCAGUGGCCCAGCUGCAGGAGAAGCUCUACGUGCCCGUAAAAGAAUUUCCCGACUUUAAUUUCGUGGGGAGGAUCCUCGGGCCUCGGGGACUGACGGCUAAGCAGCUGGAAGCGGAGACCGGGUGCAAAAUCAUGGUGCGAGGGAAGGGCUCCAUGAGGGACAAGAAAAAGGAGGAGCAAAAUCGAGGGAAGCCCAACUGGGAGCAUCUGAACGAAGACCUGCACGUCCUGAUCACGGUGGAGGACUCCCAGAACCGGGCCGAGAUCAAGCUGAAACGGGCCGUGGAGGAGGUCCGGAAGCUUCUGGUGCCGGCGGCCGAGGGUGAGGACAGCCUGAAGAAGAUGCAGCUGAUGGAGCUGGCCAUCCUCAACGGCACGUACAGAGACGCCAACAUCAAGUCGCCCGCCCUCACCUUCUCUCUAACCGCCCAGGCUCCCCGCAUCAUUACGGGCCCCGCUCCUGUGAUGCCCGCCUCCCUGCGCACCCCGACCUCGGCCGGUCCCACCCUGAUGCCCCUGAUCCGACAGAUCCAGACCUCGGCCCUCAUGCCCAGCGGGGCCCCCCACCCGGCGGCCACCCUCGUCCCCCAGGGGCCCGAAUCCGGGCUCAUCUACGCGCCCUACGACUACCCCUACACACUGGCUCCCGCCACCUCCAUUCUGGAAUACCCCAUCGACUCCACCGGGGUGUUAGGUAUGGCUUUCCCCACCAAAGGCUAAGCACUCUCAAGACCGGCGUCCCCCCUGCGCGCUUAUCUGUGUGCUAACCCUCGCUUUGUUUCACAGAGUCGCUUCUCAGUCAGAUACUGUGUGUGUGUGCGUGUGUGUGUGUGUGUGUGUGUGUGUGUGUGUGUGUGUGUGUGUGCGUGCGUGUGUUUGUGUUCAUCAUGAUCAGCGUGUGUUCAGCCCGGUCAGACAGAUGAUUCAUUACUACUGAUGUCCACCCUGGAAGUGUAUCACAGAGAUAGUGUUUCAUGUUUCUGUGUGUAUUUGCGUGUGCGUGUGCGUGUGUGUGUUUGUGUGUGUACAAGUCACUGCACUGUACACGUAUCAGUGUAUUUUGUGUGUAGGUAAUUAUGUGUUAAAAUAUGAAAUCCAGAAAGAAAGUAAUGACUGCACAUAUAGUAGAUUAUUCUAUUACAUGUAUUCUGUGAGGUGUGUCACGUAUGUAGAACUGCUCUACAGCAUAUGCAUGAAAUUGCAUUACAUUUCCAAAAGUGAUUAAAAUUUGUAUGCAGUAUUAUAGAGUAUAUCGUACAGUAUAUAUGUCAUUUAUUUCGGAUUUCAUAUUUAAACAUAUAUUUACAUAUAUCUUAAUGCCUUUUUGAUUUGGUGUAAAACAACAAUACUGUCUUUAUUUACUAAUCACUUAAUUUAUUGCAAUUAAAAUUACGGUUGUUUGCGUGGCUUAAGUUUUAAACUUUGAGCUUGGUUUGAGUAUGUUCAGUAUUAUAUUUCCAUAUUUGAAGGUUUAUCUGGGGGAAACCAUAUAAACCUGCCGCAGGGGGAAAAGGUUAAACCAUUCCUGUGUGUGCUUUGAUUACGUGAUUAGUAAAGACUGCUUGCUGCCAGCAAACCCAUUUAGGGGAGUUACAUGGACCCCGUCUGGUUUACUGACAGCUCAGUGGCAACAGACUGCCGCAGCGUUUCGAAAUUCUGUACAUAUUCUCCAUAAAAAAUACAUUGUGCCUUAUUUUGACGUUUUUUUUGUAAUUUAAAUGAUGUGUAGAUGCCUUAUGUCAUUUCUUUUGUAUUAUCGCGACAAAAAAAAAGAGGAAACUACUGUUUUUCUUACACUGCCUGUAAAAGGAUAAAUCUUCUAACUGUGCUCUGGUGUCGUUGCAAUUCAAGCAGGUGCAGUGGCAGCUAAGGUUCGGAGGCACGACAUGCGCGUGCAUCCUUACCAAAGGAUAGUGACCACCGACAGAGCCGCCACAGGCAACUAACCUUUGACCUUCUGACCUCUGAACUCCUGCACCCAAUGAUGACCUGACCAAUGCCUGCCUGCUGACCAGCUCUCUGGCAAACGUCUACGCUUGCCUGUCUCGCGGUCGCGGCGAGCACGGCCCAGCUUUUCACCUAACAAAGCAACACGACGAUGACUCAACAGCGCCGCCCCCCCUCCCCCCCUCCCCCCCCUCCCCCUUCACUGUAGCCCACUCUGGUCAUGUGACCGUGGCUUUGACCCUGCACUGAAUAGUCAUACAGCAAUAAUGAGGUCCAACGCCCCCUUCCCACACACACACACACACACACACACACACACACACAGUCAAACAGCAGCCCCCUUUUAAACUACCCACACCUGAAUGUACCGUUGCAGUAAUGACAAAGCGUCACGCAUGAGUCUUUCUGUCGUUUUAAGGUCAUUUCGCAAAAUCUUUCCCAGUUGGUGAAAUGUAUUGCACACCACCGAGCGGUUAGAAGUCUGGCAAGCGGGAGUGGGAAGUUUGACGGGUGAGGUGGGGUUCAGGUGGGGUAAAUGAGCGGGGGUGGGACUAAAGGUGCUUGUGGGUGGGGUUAUAGGGUGUUACCUGAGGGUAUAUGGGGGUACCUGGGGAUGGAACCCUGUACACAGAUUGAUAGCAAAUGUGCAUCCCAUCACUUAGCAACAUUUCUAUUUAGGAGCACUUCAUUGCAUCUUCAAGGAUGUUCAAAACAAAGCCAUGCUGUCCUAUCUGCUUUAUGUAUAUCAGAAUUGUAGAUAAAUAUUGAGACACACAGAAAAAUGAAACUCAGCAACUAAUAAUUUGACACUUUUUUAUGAUUCAAGGGUGCUGCCAUAUAGGAAGAUAUAUAUUCUCAAAUGUCAUUGUAAGCCUUUUAUAUUUACGAGUAUUGUGAACAAAACAAAAAAAGAACAAACCCUUUAGUUUAUUAUUGAAAUACAAACUGCUUCUUUUUAUGUGACUGAAGAGGUAUUGACGACCAAAAUGGCCUUUUUUUUUUCUUUUUUUUUUUCUUUUUAAAAAUUUGUUUUGUUAAGCAUUUACAGUGUUGGGAAGAAAUUGAAGUGCCUUUCUUUACUCAUGGUCAUUGAGUCUGUUGGCCGGCUCUAACUGCGCAUGAAGGUUAAUGCAUUCUACACCACCGCCUUACACAUGAAACAGUGAACGAGCGGGUAAAAAGAGAUUAAUCUGUCAAAGCCUAAGACAUGCAAAUAUGACUCUGGCUGCUUACGCUAAAGACUGAGGAAAAAGAUUAAGCCAAGAAAAAAAAAGUUGCCUUUUUUGUGUUUUUCUUUUUAUGUUAGUUUUUUUCCCAGCGUUUGUGUAACUAUAUAGAGAAUCACGGAGCAGUACGAUUUCAGCAAUGCAUCUGAACUCUAUGGGACUCUGAAUUACUGAAGCUCCACUAAACUGGAAGAGGGAAUGGCGCAAGUCCGCUCACCUCUGUGUGUCAGGACUAAUGCACUGUGCGUGUGAUGAAGUGCAGUCUUACGAGUGUGGAUCCAAGUAUUCUGUCUCGGUUUUUACCGAAGCAGCUCAGCGUUCCACUUGAAGCUACACACCGUAAACAGGUACGGCCGAAUAUCAAGAGCAUCAUAACAUUGGGGCUUAUGGGAGAUGAAGUCCGGAGCUUGAAGUCUGCAUGGUCGAUGCCAAUCCUCAGACUUCAUCUCCCACCAGCUCUGUCGUGUGAACUAUGUUGCCUUCCUGACGAUUGGAUACAGAGCAGUCCUAAAUCUGUGACAGUUCUCAAAUUCUAAAAAUUGGGUUUUUGUGUUUUUGUGUGUGUGUGCGUGUGUGUGUGUUACAAACUUUUAAUAUUUAAGGAUAUGUUACAGUAUGUCCCCCCACUGGGGACCGAAGCUCGGCUGUGUGGAGGAGGUUUUGGGGUUUUUUGCCAACAGUUGCAGGUGGCUUUCAGGCCGCGUAUCACAGUGCAGAUGGGUUCCGGUGAGUUCUCUAAACAGCCAUCUCAUGGGGAGCCAUGGCCCCAAAACAUAUGAAAAGUAUGUCAAAAUACAAGCUGUUAGGGGUGUAUUUUGAAUAAAUAUUGAAUAAGUAUUUUGAAAAAAAUAUAAACCUUGUGUUACAACAUACGCCAGUCAGACUCUAGUAUUGUUUUACGCUCAUUUCAACAUGUCAUGCUGCAUAAAUAUCAUAUAAUAUUGGAACAAAAGUGCAUACAGUAAAAUUAUUAUAAGGGGAAAGAGUAGUUAUUUGAGUGGUGGAGCUUUUCAAUGGUUUUAUCAGUUGUACCCAUAUUUUAUUACUAUGCAACAAAUUGGCCUGUAAUACUUAAUUAUAUUCCUUGCCAUAAACGUGUCUUCCUGUUUUAUAUCUUCACAGUUCCAAUGAUGCAGUGUGAUAUUGAAUGUUUUGGACAGUUUUUUGAGACAAUAUAGAGGUGUACCAUCUCAGUUCUUUUGGGAAAGACCCUGGAAUAAUAUUGGCUGUGUGUCUUGCAAAAACUGCAUAUUAUUUUAAAGUUGAAUAUAUUCUUUUGUGUGAGACUAUCAUGUCCAAUGAGCUUGAAGUUGGCAUCUUUGAAAUCUCACUACUCAUUGGGUUCUCAGUAUUAUGUCAUAGUUCUGUUGGUUAGUCCUUUAUGGCAGUAUUAUCUUCUUUGUUUUCAUUUGUGUUUCAGUGUAUUUUUUUCUUUUUCGCUGUCUGCGUGUGUGCGUGCAUGCGUGUGUGUGUAUGCGUGUGCAAAUUCUAUUCUUUGUAAGACAUACAUUUGGCAAUCUGUACCCUGUGUAACUGCUCAAGCUUUGUAUUAACAAUAUGAAAUAUCCAGAUGAUUGCCUACAAGAUUACAUGGAUGUAUUUACAGCUGUUGUUACAAGUUUAUAAUGUAUUUUUCUAUCUACUUUUGUAUGUAAGUAAUAAAUAACAUUAAUGAACGUAUUUCCAGAUUUGAACAAAUUAGAAUAACAAACAAACAAAAAGGAUACUCAAUGCAGAUGUAAAAAUUCAAGUGCAUAUGUGGAGGUUUUUCUGUAAGAGGUUAUUGGCUUUACUUUGCAGUACAUUGCUCUCAAGACCUGUGCCUGAAUUGAACCUUGUUAUCUUUAAUUAUUUAGCACAGGGGUUUUUCGACCUGUGUUUUCAACGUGUGCAGGGAUUUUCAACCUGUGUUUGAAACCACCCCAUGAAACCACCCCAUUGAAAACAUGUGGCCUGUGCAACAAGUUGUCCUCUGUAUGGUGGAAGACACAGCUUCCCCCUUUCCAUCUUUACUUGUCCUCUGCUGGAAUUGACCUGACAGUAUGAGUCAACUUCAUAUAUUGAAAUAUUGAAUUUAUUUUUACCAUUUCUCAACUUGUUGCAUUGAAAGCCGGUUGAGGUUCCUGGACACCUGGUUGAAGGUCCCUGAUUUACUGACUGAUUCUGGAGCACCUACAGUGGUUCUCUGAAAAAGAAAAAACUCAGAGAAAGUGUUUGGUUUGGCAUGAAUCCAUUGAACACCUUUGAACUCUUGUGAAGUCACUCUGCUCGGGUAUCUAUCUCAAUACCGAGUUUCUUCAUCAGACAUCUCCCAUCUUUUUUACAGACUGCAAUUUAAUAAUAACCCACAUUUGGAUGAAUAUUUUUAGUUAUUUCUAGUUUUUCAUAGAACGAUCUGAGGUGCCUCGACUGUGGUGAAGUUAAAAAAAAAAAAUUAGUUUAUAAGGUUUGUCGCUUGCAUUUUAAGGCCUUUUAUUGUAAAGUGUUAUUAACCUUUAGUAUGAUUUUAAUAAAUGUUACAUUGCAAUUGUACUAACAAUGGACAUGAUCUUGUUUCUUUAACCCCUCAUUGUUUCUUGUGUCUGCUUUGGUUGUUUUAAAAAGCAAACUUGUGAAAAGCUUUAACUUUUUAGAAUGCUGAUGAGAAACAUAACACUGUAUUUACUGAAGAGCAAUAGCAAAAUAUUAAAAGAAUAGUAAAAAAAAAUGAAUUCAACUAACUUUUGUGCUUCAUCUAUAGCUUUUUAAUGUGCCUUCAAGCUAAAUUCACGCUUACUAAUAGUAUAACAUAUAGUAUCCUUCAAUGGACGGAGAAAAACCUGAAAAACCUAAUGAAUUAAUUAGGAAGUGAUUAUCCUAAUAAGUUGUGAUCAAUGGAUCAAAUACAAUAGUUUGAGUUUUGCAGAUCUUUCCCCCACCUCUAGUUCGGCUUGAUUGCUGUAGCAUCCACAAUUAACACAUAAAACGUCCUAAGUUGUCCUUUUUACACUGCUGUGGGCCAGAACUAAGGCACCUGGUUCAGGGAAACAAUUGCAGUGAGCUACAGGUGGAGGGCAGCUGUGAAUCUUCACUCCCUGUGAAAUGCUAUGACCAAUAUUGUAAAAGACUGGGUCAUCCGAGAGGCUUCAACUCGAGUGCUGGGUAUGAGGAGAGGGAACCGAUUAGAAUGAGAGAGGGAGCACGAGCGAAGAUGUUUUCUUUUCUUCUUACGAAAGAUAUUUUCAUGUCAAUGUCAUUUGAAAUACACAGAAGAACGCAUGAGACCACAUACAGAGCACACCACUGGGCAGUGGUUCUCCCGGCUGGUUCUGGAGUGAGAGGUGUCUGCUGGUUUCAUGUCACUGAUAUUCACCACGUAAUUCAUCAAUUAAAACCAUUUAUUACAGACUGAAAUCUCCUCGACUGGAGGAAAUUAGACUCGAGCCGACGACAAAAAACAUCAUACCCUGCACCACUCCAGGAUCAGGGUUGGGGACCACUUGAACCCUAUAGUACAAGUAUAGAGCAUUACUGCUGCACUGUAGCUAGCAUACCGUGGCCUGACAACCACACGGACACUGUACAACACAAGCACUGUACGGUCAAAUGUGGUUUUGCUCCACAGGUGUCACACCCGCUCCCUGUCUGGAAGCAGCGUUUCAUUGUUCUUUGUGUCCUCCCUCAUAUGUUUUUAUUUUCUCCAUCUGUUAAGAGGGCAGGGGACUCUGGAGAGCAGGGCAGGAGGAGGUGGCCAUAAAUAUUCACUCUUCUGCUCAAGAGAAUCUUAUUUUGUACUGAACAGAUGUGGGAAAGAAACAGACAUGUUCUGAGCUGCUGUAGUGUGUCCCCCUCAGUCUGGUGCUCAUAACUUGCCCAAUUCCAAAGUUCUGGUGCUGAUAACUUGCCCAAUUCCUUCCCACGAUGCUGUGUAACGCAUCAGGUGCUUCGAAUUGUAUGAUCGCUAGAAUGGUAUUUGACGCACAUUCAUCUGAAAACUUCGCCCCCUCACCUACUGAAGUUGAUUCAUAAUUCCUGCAUCCUCAAUGUCCUGUAGGGUGAGAAGUGGAAAAUCUCGGUCCAGGACCCAGAGUUUGCUCUGGACUGAGAGGCACACAAAAUGUCUUUGGGACCCAGCUUUUGUGUUUUCUCUUAUCAGCUGGCAAGUUACAUCUUUCCUAUUUGUUUUUUUGUUUUUUUAUUACAUAUUUAAAAUAUAGUAUAAUGCAUUACUCUUUUUGUGAUCUCUUUCAAUGCAAUAAACUGUCAGUACUGUGAAUAGGCGCUCACACCAUAAAAUAAUGAACUGAAGAAGACUCUCUGUAGAAGCCAGUUCCUGCAGAAAUGCACCAUUAUUCUCUGUCAUUGAAGUGUAAAAUAAAAAUUCAUUAUUUUUAUGAUAAGAAAGCAAGGUAAAAA